RNAcentral lists this ribosomal RNA (440 nucleotides) under Pseudocosmospora vilior. RNAcentral describes it as "eukaryotic LSU rRNA". The stretch from base 84 to 237 matches the Rfam family "5.8S ribosomal RNA". The record is from RNAcentral. Lineage: Eukaryota; Fungi; Ascomycota; Sordariomycetes; Hypocreales; Nectriaceae.
GGCCCGGACCCAGGCGCCCGCCGGAGGACCCAAACUCUUGUCUUUCAUGAGAAUCUUCUGAGUAACAUAAGCAAAUAAAUUAAAACUUUCAACAACGGAUCUCUUGGUUCUGGCAUCGAUGAAGAACGCAGCGAAAUGCGAUAAGUAAUGUGAAUUGCAGAAUUCCGUGAAUCAUCGAAUCUUUGAACGCACAUUGCGCCCGCCAGUAUUCUGGCGGGCAUGCCUGUUCGAGCGUCAUUUCAACCCUCAAGCCCCCGGGCUUGGUGUUGGGGAUCGGCCGCCCUCUCCGGCGCGCCGGCCCCGAAAUCUAGUGGCGGUCUCGCUGUAGCCUCCUCUGCGUAGUAGCACACCUCGCACCGGAACGCAGCCUGGCCACGCCGUUAAACCCCCCACUUCUGAAGGUUGACCUCGGAUCAGGUAGGAAUACCCGCUGAACUUAA